ACACGGAGGGUGCGAGCGUUAAUCGGAAUUACUGGGCGUAAAGCGUACGUAGGCGGUUGGUUAAGUUAGAUGUGAAAGCCCCGGGCUUAACCUGGGAACUGCAUUUAAAACUGGCGAACUAGAGUUGAGUAGAGGGGAGUGGAAUUUCAGGUGUAGCGGUGAAAUGCGUAGAGAUCUGAAGGAACACCAGUGGCGAAGGCGACUCCCUGGACUCGAACUGACGCUGAGGUACGAAAGCGUGGGUAGCAAACGGGAUUAGAAACCCUAGUAGUCC
Molecule: ribosomal RNA, 274 nt
Filed under: uncultured bacterium
Lineage: Bacteria
Description: partial 16S ribosomal RNA
Rfam family: Bacterial small subunit ribosomal RNA
Source: RNAcentral